RNAcentral lists this ribosomal RNA (229 nucleotides) under uncultured bacterium. RNAcentral describes it as "partial 16S ribosomal RNA". It matches the Rfam family "Bacterial small subunit ribosomal RNA", at positions 568 to 796 of the family's 1533-position model. The record is from RNAcentral.
CGCGUAGGCGGGGUCGUGGGUCGGCCGUGAAAUCCACCGGCUCAACCGGUGAACUGCGGUCGAAACUACGACUCUUGAGCUCGGUAGAGGAAGGCGGAAUUCCUGGUGUAGCGGUGGAAUGCGUAGAUAUCAGGAGGAACACCGGUAGCGAAGGCGGCCUUCUGGGCCGUAGCUGACGCUGAGGCGCGAAAGCCGGGGGAGCGAACAGGAUUAGAUACCCUGGUAGUCC